AUUGAACGCUGGCGGAAUGCUUUACACAUGCAAGUCGAACGGCAGCACGGACUUCGGUCUGGUGGCGAGUGGCGGACGGGUGAGUAAUAUAUCGGAACGUGCCCAGUCGUGGGGGAUAACGUAGUGAAAAUUACGCUAAUACCGCAUACGAUCUAUGGAUGAAAGCGGGGGAUCGCAAGACCUCGCGCGAUUGGAGCGGCCGAUAUCAGAUUAGGUAGUUGGUGAGGUAAAGGCUCACCAAGCCGACGAUCUGUAGCUGGUCUGGGAGGACGACCAGCCACACUGGAACUGAGACACGGUCCAGACUCCUACGGGAGGCAGCAGUGGGGAAUUUUGGACAAUGGACGCAAGUCUGAUCCAGCCAUUCCGCGUGCAGGACGAAGGCCUUCGGGUUGUAAACUGCUUUUGUACAGAACGAAAAGGUCUCUAUUAAUACUAGGGGCUCAUGACGGUACUGUAAGAAUAAGCACCGGCUAACUACGUGCCAGCCGCCGCCGUAA
This 500-nucleotide ribosomal RNA is filed under the name uncultured bacterium. Its description in RNAcentral is "partial 16S ribosomal RNA". It matches the Rfam family "Bacterial small subunit ribosomal RNA", at positions 30 to 523 of the family's 1533-position model. The record is from RNAcentral.